Molecule: ribosomal RNA, 496 nt
Filed under: uncultured bacterium
Lineage: Bacteria
Description: partial 16S ribosomal RNA
Rfam family: Bacterial small subunit ribosomal RNA
Source: RNAcentral
GAUGAACGCUGGCGGCGUGCCUAAUACAUGCAAGUCGAGCGAACGGACGAGAAGCUUGCUUCUCUGAUGUUAGCGGCGGACGGGUGAGUAACACGUGGAUAACCUACCUAUAAGACUGGGAUAACUUCGGGAAACCGGAGCUAAUACCGGAUAAUAUUUUGAACCGCAUGGUUCAAAAGUGAAAGACGGUCUUGCUGUCACUUAUAGAUGGAUCCGCGCUGCAUUAGCUAGUUGGUAAGGUAACGGCUUACCAAGGCAACGAUGCAUAGCCGACCUGAGAGGGUGAUCCGCCCCCCGGGAACUGGGACCCGGUCCACGCCCCUACGGGGGGCACGAGGAGGGAUUCUCCCCCAAGGGGCGAAACCCUGACGGAGCACCCCCGCGGGGGUGAUGAAGGCUUUCGGUUCGUAAACCCUUUUUUUUAGGGAAAAACAAUUUUGUAAGUAACUGUGCCAAUCUUGGCGGGCCCAAAUCAAAAAGCCCCGGCUAACUACGU